RNAcentral lists this long non-coding RNA (764 nucleotides) under Ananas comosus (pineapple). RNAcentral describes it as "long non-coding RNA (ACOM_LNC017419)". Lineage: Eukaryota; Viridiplantae; Streptophyta; Magnoliopsida; Poales; Bromeliaceae. The record is from RNAcentral.
AACAUUCCAAAUCCUUACAUAUAAAAAAGGGGCAAUUACUUAUAUAUUCCUGAAAAAUUUCCGACUUUCUGAUUUACCCCUCUUAGAAGGCUAAUAUUGAAAAUACCUUUUUUACGUUCUAAUCUAUUUCUAAUAUACUACUAGAGUUAAACUGUUAAUGAACUCUAUUAUCUCUAUAAAAUUAUUAUUUUGCUCUUUCAAAUAUAUCCUUCUACUAUCAUUGACUUUUCUUAUUUGCCCUUAAGUUAGGGGCACAAAAAAUAUUUUGCUUUUUGGUCUUUUUAAAUAUACUCUUCUACCAUCACCAAUAUUUCUUAUUUGCCCUUAAGUUAAGGACAAAAGUGAUAUUUUAAUUUUUUUUUAACUGUAGUAGAUAUUUAACUCACGUUUAACCCAAAUUACCUUAUCGGGUGGUAACUGCAGCAGUAUUUUGGAAUAACGGAGGAACGUAUCAGGGGUAUAUUAGAAAGAAAACAAGUAGAGGUAAAUGAGAUGUUUCCGAAGUUUCGAGAGGUAUAUAGGCAAUUAUCCAUAUAAAAAAUUAUAAAUUUUGGAUUUUGAUUUCUUAUGAAUCCAACAAUGAUACAUUCUCUACCGGUAAUAAUUGGGACUAUUUGAUACCGAGUUCAUUAGUUCUCAUGAUAUUCAAUUUUUUUGCAAGUAAGUAAUUUAAAUGUUAUAAAUCAUAUCUAUUGUCUUAUGUUUUGAUUUAACAUUAUUAAUCAUCACAGUAUAAUACUGUAGUGGAUAUAUUGUACUUAUAC